RNAcentral lists this ribosomal RNA (496 nucleotides) under uncultured bacterium. Its description in RNAcentral is "partial 16S ribosomal RNA". It matches the Rfam family "Bacterial small subunit ribosomal RNA", at positions 28 to 507 of the family's 1533-position model. The record is from RNAcentral.
GGUGAACGCUGGCGGCGUGCCUAAUACAUGCGAGUCGAGCGAACAGACGAGGAGCUUGCUCCUCUGACGUUAGCGGCGGACGGGUGAGUAACACGUGGAUAACCUACCUAUAAGACUGGGAUAACUUCGGGAAACCGGAGCUAAUACCGGAUAAUAUAUUGAACCGCAUGGUUCAAUAGUGAAAGACGGUUUUGCUGUCACUUAUAGAUGGAUCCGCGCCGCAUUAGCUAGUUGGUAAGGUAACGGCUUACCAAGGCAACGAUGCGUAGCCGACCUGAGAGGGUGAUCGGCCACACUGGAACUGAGACACGGUCCAGACUCCUACGGGAGGCAGCAGUAGGGAAUCUUCCGCAAUGGGCGAAAGCUUGACGGAGCAACGCCGCGUGAGUGAUGAAGGUCUUGGAUCGUAAAACUCUGUUAUUAGGGAAGAACAAAUGUGUAAGUAACUAUGCACGUCUUGACGGUACCUAAUCAGAAAGCCACGGCUAACUACGUG